RNAcentral lists this ribosomal RNA (468 nucleotides) under uncultured bacterium. RNAcentral's name for it is "partial 16S ribosomal RNA". It matches the Rfam family "Bacterial small subunit ribosomal RNA", at positions 28 to 507 of the family's 1533-position model. The record is from RNAcentral.
GACGAACGCUGGCGGCGUGCUUAACACAUGCAAGUCGAACGGAAAGGCCCGGCGUUUGUGGGGUGCUCGAGUGGCGAACGGGUGAGUAACACGUGAGUAACCUGCCCUUGACUUUGGGAUAACUUCAGGAAACUGGGGCUAAUACAGGAUAUGAGCUCCUGAUGCAUGGGGGGGGAUGGAAAGUUUCGGCGGUGCGGGCUGGUUUCGCGGCUUAUCAGCUUGUUGGUGGAGUAGGGGCGGACCAAGGCUUUGACGGGUAGCCGGCAUGAGAGGGUAGACAGCCACCUUGGGCCUGAGAGAGGGACCAGUCUCCUACGGGAGGCAGCAGGGGAGAGUAUUGCACAGUGAGGCGGAGUGUGAGACGACAGCGUCGCGUGCGGAAAGACGGCCUUCGGGUUGUGAACCGCUUUCGCCUGUGACGAAGCGUGAGUGACGGUAAUGGGUAAAGAAGCACCGGCUAACUACGUG